Molecule: ribosomal RNA, 497 nt
Filed under: uncultured bacterium
Lineage: Bacteria
Description: partial 16S ribosomal RNA
Rfam family: Bacterial small subunit ribosomal RNA
Source: RNAcentral
GAUGAACGCUGGCGGCGUGCCUAAUACAUGCAAGUAGAACGCUGAAGGAAGGAGCUUGCUCUUUCCGGAUGAGUUGCGAACGGGUGAGUAACGCGUAGGUAACCUGCCUGGUAGCGGGGGAUAACUAUUGGAAACGAUAGCUAAUACCGCAUAACAGUAGAUGUUGCAUGAUAUCUACUUAAAAGGUGCAAUUGCACCACUACCAGAUGGACCUGCGUUGUAUUAGCUAGUUGGUGAGGUAACGGCUCACCAAGGCGACGAUACAUAGCCGACCUGAGAGGGUGGGCGGCCGCACUGGGAGGGGGACAAGGCCCAGACUCCUAGGGGAGGGAGCAGGAGGGAAUCUUGGGGAAUGGGCGGAAGUCUGACCGGGCGACGCCGCGGGAGUGAAGAAGGGUGUCGGGUCGGGAAGGUCGGUUGUAAGGGAAGAACGAGUGGGGGAGUGGUAAGUUCACACUGUGACGGUAUCUUAGCAGAAAGGGACGGCUAACUACGUG